This 1334-nucleotide long non-coding RNA is filed under the name Struthio camelus australis. RNAcentral's name for it is "lncRNA (ENSSCUG00000015182.1)". Lineage: Eukaryota; Metazoa; Chordata; Aves; Struthioniformes; Struthionidae. The record is from RNAcentral.
UUUGGAGAAGAAAACAGGAAAAACUGCUAAUGUUUUAUCCAGACUGGAAAAAGGCAUAUAGAAAAGGUGGGUGACUAUGGACGGGCAUGCUGACUCUGAUUUCUGGUAACCCACACAGGUUUGGAGUUCGCGCUAUAAAGAACUGAAAGAAAGUAACAUAAAAUAUCCUCCUUAUUGUGGGAAAGAUAGGCUGGGGCAAACAACAGAUUACUAAGUUAGUCUACAUCAGUGAAGUGAGGUAAUUAAAUACACAUGUGCUGUGGCAUGUGUUGUAGAUGCAUAAGCUGUAGAAAAUGUGAACUAAACCUUGACAAAAGAGGCUUCUGUUGAGGUGGGCUGUGAGCAUAUGCCUCAGCAGUGCCCCUAGCCCAGCUGGUGUGCAUAAAGUCAUUAGCUGUAGUAACUAACUUCACAGCUUCUCCCAGCUGGGUUCAGGUGGCUUUUAGGGUGAAGUGAGACUUUUGCAUGGCCAGGCUACAACCUGCUUUAAAAGCUUUCAAUAUCUGAUGAAGGUAUGCACCAAACUGAUUAAAAAAGCACUCUUAAGGGUGUAUGUAACAGAACAAUUAGUUUCUCUUGGGCUUUACUGGUGUCUUUAGUUCUGCUUGCCUCUCAUACUUCCUGCUGGGCUGGACACAAGUAGAAGAGAGACUUCACUAGCUGGAGACUUGCAGGGGAGUAAAAUGCCUGUAUCUGAAAAGGAAGUACCUGCAGCCUGUAUCCCACUAGGAGACUUUGGAGAGGUGGUUGAACUGCUUUGGACUUCUGGGCAGAUUUAAGCUGAAGAGGAGGUCCUGGCCUACAUUCCAGGCUGGUUGCCAUGUUCUUGUUUCCCACAGUCCCUUGUCUUUUCAAGGGUCAACCACAACGCAGGCAUGCAUCGCAAAGAUCUUGGAAAAACAGAGGUGUGACUGAAGGAGCUGUCCAUCUCAACACAGAUAUGAAAAGAAGCUGAAGGUAUGUUAUGCUGCCAGUUCAAAAAUUUGCUGUUAGCAAAUGCUAUUGAUCAAAAACAGUUUGCCAAAACGUUGAGCAAAUGUAUUAAAGUAGAAGUCAGAUUCUAGAUGAAUGCUAAGAUUAACAAAGACUGUAUCAGCUGUCAAUUACAAAUUAUUCUUUCCUAUCUAGUAUUGGGACUGGCAUAGUGCAAUCUAUCUGCUGAGUUGAGCCUUCUCCAUGUUUUUUUUUUUUUUAAUAAUUAUUUUCUACGUUUUAGUUUAAGGCUGAGAGAAAUUCUUACAUCAUCAAUCCAGUUUUUUGCUCCCACAGAUGGAGCACUGAACUCUCUAAUAUUCAGAACUUAAAAAUAAACAAAAACCCCCCAGAAUCUUGCA